GUUUAGGGAAAAAGACACUCACACAUUCUCUUGAUUAUUUUCUUCUUUAUUCUCUAUUCUUCUGUGUUCUUUCUGUAUUUUUUAUUGUUGGUUGAAGAAAAAAAGACACUCCAAGAUGAAAUAUUAAGGUCUAUGUUACAGCAGGAAGGUCUAGCCUCUUCUGAUGGAAUGAACUAGACUGGACUGGACCCCAAACAGCUGUACAAAGAUGCUUUUAUUGAUUGUUACCCAAAGUAUGUACUCAUACCAAGGUCCUUAAUCUUAAUUUACUUGUUAUAUUGAAGUGGGGCUUCAUACAAUUAUAUGACUCUAGUCCUUUAUUAUGUGUUGUGUGCAAUACAUAAUAUUACAAGAGUCUCAAGUAUGCUUGAGGUGUCUAGUGACCAAAGUUAUGGGACAGCUGUGAAGCUCUUUCUGCAAAACAAUCACUGUUCUCCAUAAGGAUUCUUCAAGGUCAAUGUACUUCUAAAAAUCAGCUGAUCAUUCUAAUAUCUACCCCAUACAGUCUUAAAGGAAUCACAAACCUAAACUUUUAUACAUUAAAAAAAAUCAGUCAGCUGUACUUUAGAUUCUUAGGGUGCAUACCCACUCAUCAGUAGUUUUUUAUAUCAAGAGAUUGAGUGCAGGAAUGGGUACAAGGAAUUAAUCAUCACCCUUGAUCAUCAACCAACCCUAGCAAGAAAAUACAUCAGCCAGUAACUGUUGAGCUACUUUGUAUUUUUUGACCUCAGCUAUUUGUCCUUAUGAACUUCUGAUUGGUUUCUGGAGUUUUUCAUCUUAAGGCUAUUAUCAAAUCAUCUUAUUUAACCUGAAGUUAUGAUAAGGCUUUGUUUCAGCUUAUGAUGCACACCAAAACUGUGACUACAUCUUUCAGCAUUGAGAUUAAAGAAAUUUGAGCCAGCCUUGAACUUCAUUUGCCACCUGCUGCUCCUCUAACAUGGCCACAGCACAGAUAUUUCUGUCUCAACCUGACUUCGUGGGACCAUUUACAAACUACUUACAAGUGAGAACAGCAGAUAAUUUUUAAUGGCUCUUUCAAUACAAAAACUACAGUAUCUUCAUACAUGUUGAAAGACCACUGGGAGUUUCCUCCUUUCCUAGUAAUGGAACUUAGAUCUCAUGUCUGGCAUAGUCAGAAGGAUUCAACUGCCCUACCUCACUGGGAGUAUCUCUUCAGAUUCUGUUGGACAUUCUUCUGAGAGAGGAGCAAAGUGGCUGCUUGGAAAAUUAACUGGCUCUUUUAACUGCAGAGAAAACUGGUCUUGAGGACAUUUUGAGGAGUAUAUUUAGAGUUUGGAGCAGCUGAACCCUACACCUCUAAGAGGCGGAAGAUAGCAUUUUGAUGGCAUCACAGUAUACAGAGAGAUUGGGCUCCAUCAAAACCACCCCACUUAAAGGCGGUGCCUGCAAGACACAACCAUAGAACUGUAAAGAACACCUGCUAAUGACCUCUAUGAUGGUUGUAGUACAUACAGUAUGUGGUAUUGAUAGACAAGCUGGAAUGGCCAAUUGUAUCAAGAAUUAAUCUGUGGGAUACAACUUUCUUCUAGCAGAAAACGAAAAGAGAAAUGAACACACCAAAAAUACAUAAACAAUUGCACAUGGAUCGAUAUACAUUUAUAUGACUUAGUCUCCAUAUAUAUUCAAGAUAACUCCCUACAGACAUGUCCAUAGGCCACAGUUAUCUAAAUAUUCAUUCACUAAGACUCUCUUCUCAGAUUAUUCUAGGUAGUGUAAAGUUGACAGCUAAAACAAUUGAGUGCAUAACUGCUUACUUCUGAUUUCUGUUGAUUUACUUAAAUCACAUGCCAAACAUUAGGGGUCAUUACAUUUAUAUAUUGGUACUCAUUAAGUCUUCUACAUAAGUAGCUCCUGAGUUCCAAUGUUCAUCUUAUUUUAAAGAUAGUAUUGUAGGAAUAACAAUAUAGUAUUUAUGAGAAAAUGGACAGUAGUUCUGACUGAUACUUCUCAGCCAUGUGGACAUAGAAUUUAUCAUUUAUCUUUAGGUUUCAUUUGUAUCAUGAUAAUAACCUGUUCAUGAACUUAAAUGUCUUCCAAGGAGAAGCAAAUGAACUAGUAUAUGUAAAAAUAUUCUGAAAAACAUCUCUUUUUAUACAUAAAUAAAGUAUAAAGAUGUUUGUAUUUUUAUAGUAUAAUGGUUGGAAUUUUUUAUAAAAAUAAAAGUUGAAGAAAGACAUUCAAAAUAGA
Molecule: long non-coding RNA, 2208 nt
Organism: Peromyscus californicus insignis
Lineage: Eukaryota; Metazoa; Chordata; Mammalia; Rodentia; Cricetidae
Exons: 5
Source: RefSeq, a predicted model, not a curated record